AUGUAGGCAAAACACUCAUACACAUAAUAAUUAAAAGAUAAAUAAAAAAGAAUAAAGACGCCUAAAAAGAAAUAGAGAAAUCUGAAAGAAAAUAACAAAGAAGAAAGAAUUACCCAUGGGCUUAUCCCUCUUAGAAAAUGUUAUUCUUUAUCUUGCUCCUUCCAGCCUUGGACCAUAUGCAGACUGACAUAUUUUGCAUAGUUUUACCAGAGAAUGCACAUCCAACUUUGUGUUCUAUUUCUUCCUCUUAACAUAUUGUGUCAGCAUAGUGCUAUAUCGUUAAGAUGGCUUGGAGUGAACUUACUUUAAGUCCCUACGUAAGAGUCCACUGAGUUGAUUAUACAUUCUUCCUUCUCAAAUGUAAGAAGUCUAGAAUCCCUGCAGUAGGUUGUUGAUCAGAAAAGCCUCUUUCAUGUGGUAAGAUCCCCCUCUGCUGGAACUUUGUUUGUUUUAUGUACCAAAGAUAAUUUAUUGACUAUACAGAUUUCAUACUUGUGGCACAAAUGGGUUUUUCUGAGGUAGUGCUCACAUUUUGGAGGGUGAUGAGGGGAGGGACUCUGUAGAGCAAGUGUCUCCACAUCUGUGGUAAUGACAGUGCCUGGACUUAUUGGAUAACCACAUCUUCUCCUCUAGAACCUGUGGACAAAGCUACUGCUCUGAGGGAGUUCCGGGUGCUGCACACCGCCCUGCACAGCAGCUCCUCCUACAGGGAAGCGGUCUUUAAGAUGCUCAGCAAUAAAGAAUCUCUAGAUCAGAUCAUUGUGGCAACCCCAGGUCUCAGCAGUGACCCCAUUGCCCUAGGGGUUCUCCAGGACAAGGACCUCUUCUCUGUCUUUGCUGAUCCCAACAUGCUGGAUACGUAAGUAUAACCAUCAUUUUGUAAAGUACAUUCCUCAUGCGAUCAGCUAAAAACCUGGUUGUUGCCCUGGGAUCUCUUCUUGGAGCCAGUCUGUCACCAGGUCUGCUUUCUAAAUGUGUCGAGAUGGAAGGAGCAGCAAGGACUGCUUAAGAAAUAGAAAAGCGGGCUGGAGAGAUGGCCCAGAGGUUAAGAGCACUGACUGUGCUUCCAGAGGUCCUGAGCUCAAUUCUCAGCAACCACAUGGUGGCUCACAACUAUCUGUAAUGAGAUCUGGUGCCCUCUUCUGGCCUGCAGCCAUACAUGCAGACAGAACACUGUAUACACAAUAAAUAAAUAAAUAAA
Molecule: long non-coding RNA, 1201 nt
Organism: Alexandromys fortis (reed vole)
Lineage: Eukaryota; Metazoa; Chordata; Mammalia; Rodentia; Cricetidae
Exons: 3
Source: RefSeq, a predicted model, not a curated record